CAUGCAAGUCGGGCGGUAACAGGAAAGCGCUUGCGCUUUUGCUGACGAGCGGCGGACGGGUGAGUAAUGUCUGGGGAUCUGCCCGAGGGCGGGGGAUAACCACUGGAAACGGUGGCUAAUACCGCAUAAUGUCGCGAGACCAAAGUGGGGGACCUGAAAGGGCCUCACGCCGUCGGAUGAACCCAGAUGGGAUUAGCUGGUAGGUAGGGUAAUGGCCUACCUAGGCGACGAUCCCUAGCUGGUCUGAGAGGAUGACCAGCCACACUGGGACUGAGACACGGCCCAGACUCCUACGGGAGGCAGCAGUGGGGAAUAUUGCACAAUGGGCGCAAGCCUGAUGCAGCCAUGCCGCGUGUAUGAAAAAGGCCUUCGGGUUGUAAAGUACUUUCAGCGGGGAGGAAGGAUUUAACUUGAACAGAGUUGGAUUUUGACGUUACCCGCAGAAAAAGCACCGGCUAACUCCGUGCCAGCAGCCGCGGUAAUACGGAGGGUGCGAGCGUUAAUCGGAAUGACUGGGCGUAAAGCGCACGCAGGCGGUCAAUUAAGUUAGAUGUGAAAUCCCCGGGCUCAACCUGGGAACGGCAUCUAAGACUGGUUGACUGGAGUCUCGUAGAGGGGGGUAGAAUUCCAUGUGUAGCGGUGAAAUGCGUAGAGAUGUGGAGGAAUACCGGUGGCGAAGGCGGCCCCCUGGACGAAGACUGACGCUCAGGUGCGAAAGCGUGGGGAGCAAACAGGAUUAGAUACCCUGGUAGUCCACGCUGUAAACGAUGUCGAUUUGGAGGUUGCGGCCCUGAGCUGUGGCUUCCGAAGCUAACGCGUUAAAUCGACCGCCUGGGGGAGUACGGCCGCAAGGUUAAAACUCAAAUGAAUUGACGGGGGGCCCGCACAAGCGGUGGGAGCAUGUGGGUUUAUUUCGAUGCAACGCGAGAAGACCUUACCUACUUCUUGACAUCCUCCGAAUUUUGCUGGAAAACAGCGAAAAUGCCUUUUGGGAACUGAGAGACAGGUGCUGCAUGGGCUGUCCUCCACCUCCUGGUUGUGAAAAUGUUGGGGUUAAAUUCCCGCCAACGAACCGCAACCCCUUUAUCCUUUGUUGCCAGCACGUCGAGGUGGGAACUCAAAGGAGACUGCCGGUGAUAAACCGGAGGAAGGUGGGGAUGACGUCAAGUCAUCAUGGCCCUUU
This 1183-nucleotide ribosomal RNA is filed under the name Photorhabdus luminescens. Its description in RNAcentral is "bacterial SSU rRNA". It matches the Rfam family "Bacterial small subunit ribosomal RNA", at positions 54 to 1204 of the family's 1533-position model. The record is from RNAcentral. Lineage: Bacteria; Pseudomonadati; Pseudomonadota; Gammaproteobacteria; Enterobacterales; Morganellaceae.